RNAcentral lists this long non-coding RNA (1713 nucleotides) under Salvia miltiorrhiza (redroot sage). RNAcentral describes it as "long non-coding RNA (SMIL_LNC004727)". The record is from RNAcentral. Lineage: Eukaryota; Viridiplantae; Streptophyta; Magnoliopsida; Lamiales; Lamiaceae.
UUCUAUGGGUCGUUACAUUCAGCCACAAUCUGCCUAUAGUUCAUCGCCAAUUUUUGGAAAAGGGUAUUAUUGGGUCUUGUAAUUUAAUCUCUCUCUUAAUAACUAGUAACCGCAAUUAAAGCCAAAAUUUUGGGAAACAAAAAUCUUAGCAUUUACUAGGGUUUGAGUUACUUCUUCUUGUUGGUGGCGCAUGAUUUCGAGAACUCAAAAAUUCACUCUCAAUUUAUUUUUAGUGCAAUCUGCCAGAAAUUCAAGCCCCUUUGAAUCAACUAAUUCAUUCAACAUUGUUAGGUUAUGGCAAGAACAAAAGGGAGCAAGAAUGGUGAGUUUUUCGAUUCUUGAUAUUCAAGCUCUAUCUAUUUGUUUUUUUCUUCUUUGAGAGCAUCUAUUUGAAUUCUGAAAUUUCACGGAAUUGGUUCAUCGAGAACCAUCAGUUAAUUCGUGAAGAUUAAAUAUUUGUUGAUGCGAAUGAAGGAUAAACGAAUGAACUGGAUUCGUACAUAAUUUUUAAGAAAGAUUGUGGAUAUAUUUUAGGCGUCUAUUUAUUUAACUUUGAGAGAUCUCGUUUUCUUCCUUGUUGACUAUACAGGGAUCUCGUUUUCAGAGAUGAACCAAGUUUUUUAAUUUCCACUUUCACCUGUUGUCGUUUUCGAUUCUUUGACCUCAUUACGGGAUUGUUUGUAAAAUGUCAUACAAGGAUUGAAUUGUGCUAUUUUAUUUGGCAUGUGUUAUGUUGGCUUUAGAUUGUUAAAAAGUUAGGAUGAAUAAUUGGUAAACAUUUUUGCAGUUGUGAAGCCUGCGGACGAAGGAAAGUCAAAUAAGCAAAGGUAAAAACUAUAUUUGGAUUGUGUAAAUGUUAGAGCUACAGUACGAAUUAUUUGACUUGUGAAAAUGCAUUGAAUACAAGGCUUGUGCAUCGAAAAUGUUAGUUGUAUUAAGCAUAAUGGGGAAAAUGGAAAAUUACUUAUUUCAGAUAAAAUGGUGCAUAAGACAGUAUGAAUUAUUUAGAUUGUUAAAAUGAAUAAAUUAUGCAUUGAUAAGUGCAUUUGGUAGUUCCAGACAAUUCAUACUGCACUCCUUACGGAUGGGUGAUAAUUCGUACAGUACAAACAUCUCCAUCUGCAUAAUAAUUCAUACACAGAUUGAUUGUCUUCUAUUGUGUUUUUUAAAAGUGGAUUGCAUUUUUUGGGCAGGUUUUUUAAAGUGGAGGGCGGCUGUUGUCGCACGUCCUGGUGGAGGGUGGCGCGGUGGUUCUGAAUCGCGUAGGGGCGCGGGGUGGCGUAAGGACGACGUGGCAGUUGCAGGUGCGGACGGCGGGAGACUGACGUGAGUUGUGGUGGUGGCGGUGCUGCUGCUCGGCGUCUGGAUCCGACGUUGUGUGCAAGAGAGAUGAACAGAGGUGGUGCAUGGAUGAACGGAGACGGGAUCUGGAGUAAGGAGGCGUGGGAAAUAUGCGCAAGGCGGCGCUAACAGCGUCCGGUUGAACUGAAGUGGUGGGCGGAGCGUGGCAUCGCUACUAGAAGAAACUUGGAGACUAGGCCGCGCUCUGCAUGGCGUUCAAUUAGGGUCGAGGAUUUAUCUGCAAUUUCAGCAUAUUAUUAUAUUAUGCAUACAAUUUCACUAAAUAAUUCACAUGUUUAUACUAACUUUAUGUUGUAAUGGAUGAGUAUGAAUUUAAUAUUGAAACUGUACGAAUAAUUCAUACAUUGUUAA